GGACGUCAACUCAAGCUAAUGCCCUAGGGGGAAGCUAGGUCAAGCUUUAGCGGCAACUGAAAUCAAAGGAACAAUAGCGAGAGUAGGGAAACAUCCUGCAGAAAUAGGGUUUCAGAUGACACAGCUUUGCAAUCAAUUGUGUGAGGUUCAGAAGGUCAUUUGCUAGAGAUAGUGGUGGUGUUAGAUAUCCUACCGCAAAAGGCACGCCAGUGAAAUCCAGAUUGGUUUUGGGCAAAGAGAAGGAAAAAGAGUGAAAGAAGGUUAUUCAAUCUCCGAAAAUUACAAAUAGUCUAUCAUUGGCAGAUGAAGUAAAGUAGUGAAUGAAACAACUGGUAAGCCUUUUGCAACCAAUGUGAACUUUGUGAUCAAGGGAUCUGUAUGGGAUAACUUUGUUAUCUCUAAAAUUUCAAAUGCUGGAUUUAAAUUGGAGUAUGUCAAGAUAGAAAUAAAAAAGGAAAGCUGAUUUCUAAAAUUGAUGCAGAUGAUAUCAGUACAAAAGUUGAUUACUGAAAACACUCAGUAGUAUGUUAAUAUUUUGGGGGCACAUCCCCCUUUUUCACUGCUUAUUGGGUAUUUUCAAAGGCAAUGAGAGAAGUAUGAUAUUAAUAAGAUAGAUAUGAUGAAGAAUGACAUUGUCUUAAUUAGGUUUGAAACUACUGAGAGUCAAAGUAAGGUAUUACAAGGUAGGAUUAAUCAUUUUAAUAGUAAACCUUUUAUUGUUAAAGUAUGGAGUCCAAAACUGGAGUUCACUAAAGAAUCGUUGUCUGUUCCAAUAAAGAUUAAGAUGCCUGGACUGCAUUUCAAAUAUUUAAGUGCUAAAAGGCACUUAAUAUUGGUAUUUUGGUAAGGAAACCAUUGAUAAUUGAUAAACAUACUAAAAAGAAGGUUGGACUAACUUUGCAAGGUUAUUAGUGGAAAUAAAGAUUGGUGCAUCAUUGCCGGAGUGUAUCUACUUCAGGAAUGAAAAGGGGAAACUAAUUGAGUAGAAGGUGACAUAUUAUUGACAUCCUCUAUUAUGUAAGGUUUGUCAGAAGUCUGGUCAUAAAGAGGAUAUAUGUAGGAAGAAGAGAACUAAACUGAUGCAAGUCAGGAACUCUAAAGAAGGGAAAAACUAGUAAAAUGCAGGUGAUGAUAGAGCAGGGUUCAGCAUCUCAAGUUCAAGAGCCUGAUGCAUUGAAGAAUAAGCCAAAUGAGUGGAAUAGAGGUGGAAAAGGAAAAUUGACCAAAACUAUUGGCUAGAACAACCUAAUAAGGAUGGUAAUGUGACUACUACUAUCAUGACUGUCAACACUUAUAAAGCACUAACUGCAAACAAAGGAGUAUAAGCACCUCUAAAGAGACAGUUAAGGAUGGACAUAAUGAUACUAUGUUCCUAUCUGGGAAUAGUUAAAAUGCUUUGUUGAAAGGUUAGAAAUCUUAAUGGAUAAAUAAGUAAUAGGAGAUCAAGCUCUUCUAUAGUAAAUGAAUGUUGGAUUGAUGGAAUUUCUGGAAACAAAGGUUAAGGUGAAUAGAAUAAGUCAAAUAAUUAGUACUAUGUGUGGAGGAUAGAAGUGUAAUAGCAAUGAUGCCUCUCAUUAUAAUAGAAGGAUAUUAUUAAUAUGGAGAUUAGACUGGUUUGAAUUUACAUUGAGAGUGGAUCUACCUAAACAAUAGCCUACCUGGUGGAGUAUAUUCCUAAGCAACUCAUAUUUGUGACCGCUUUUGUCUAUACUUUCAACACAAAGGAAGAAAGAAAGAGUCUAUGGAAUUACCUUAAGGAAUAUUGGUAGUUUUCAAAUACCUUGAAUUAUUUUAGGAGAUUUUAAUAAUGUCUUACAUGAUGAUGACAGGAAAGGAGGGGUGCCAAUUUUAUUUGCUGAAGUAUAUGAUUUUCCGAAUUGACUUGAGUAUUAUAGUUUAACAGAGCUACUUAAUGGCUGCAAGUACACCUGUUCUGAUAACCAAGCUGAAAUAAUUUUCCCAAAAAUUGACUAAGUUAGGGUAAAGGGGGAACGGUUGGACAACAUGAAUAGAUGUAUCACCCAAUUUCACUCUGAAGGCAUUAAUGAUAAUUGCCCUUUGAUGAUCAACAUGCUGUAAACUAAUAAUAGAAGGAACAAAACUUUUAAGUAUUCUAACAUGUCGUGUAAGCAUUGAAAGUUAAUAGAGAUAAUUUAGACUACUUGGGGCACUCCAAUACAUGGUUAUAGUAUGUAUCAAGUGGUGACUAGAUUAAAAUUACUUAAGAAGAAAUUGAAGAAGCUACAUCAGUAGCAUUUUAAUAAUAUAAUGCAUGAAGCAGAUGAGGAUAGAGAGACACUUCACCAGGUUCAGGCCUAAUCCAGAUACUAGUAAUGUUAUGAUGCUACGAGAGAAAAGAGAGCUGAAUAUGAAGUUUAGGAGAUCAUCUAGCCUAACUGGAUCCUUCUUGUUACAAGAAGCAAAAAUACAUAGAUUAGACAAGAAAAUGAAUGCACUGAGUAUUUUUUUCUUUGUGAUUAAGCAAAGAAAACUUAUCCAAUCAAUUACUCAAAUUCAAGAUAUGCAAGGGAAGAUGCAAUAUAAACUUGAUAGCAGAGCUGAUAUAUUUUUUUCAGUAUUUUCAAUUCAUACUUAGUGAAUUAGGAGGUUCUAGAAGGAAGGUAAGUGAUGUAGUAUUUGCUCAAGGACAGACCCUCAUAGUUGCUCAACAAUGUGAAAUCUUAAGUCCUUGUAUUGAUAAAGAGAUCAAAGCUACAAAGUUUAGUAUUAAAGAAACUAAGAGCCAAGGCCUUAUGAUUUUAGUAGUGAUUUCUUUUAAGUUGCAUGGGGUAUAGUAGAUGAAAGUGUUUGUCCAGCUAUUACAGACUUCUUUAGAACAAAGGAACUGCUUGCUACCAUGAUCUUAAUGAUUUCUAAAGUGUCUAAUCCUUUGAGUGCUAGACCUAUAGCACAUUGCAAUGUUAUCUACAAGUGUAUUUCUAAGCUUUUGUGUAACAGACUGGUCAAAGUAUUACCUAGUAUUAUUAGUGCUAAUCAGACAGUUUUUUGUUAAAUAUGGGUCCCUGAUUCAUAAUGUGUUGAUGUGCCAUGACUUAUUGAGGCAUUAUAAUAGGAAGACUACUUUAAGAUGUCUCAUGAAGAUUGAUUUGAGGAAAGCAUAGGACAUGGUAUAUUGAGACUUUAUAGAGGAAAUAUUGAAAAGUUAUGGUCUCUCAAUCACGUUCUAUUAAUUGCUUAUAGCUUUUCGUAAAAUUGCCAGAUUCUUUGUGAAAGUUAAUGAUAAAGAAAGUGGCUAUUUUAAAGGUUAGAGAGGGUCGGUAUAGGGUGAUCCUAUCUCACAAUUUCUGUUUUAUCUUAGUUAUGGAGUACCUAACUAGAGUACUGAGUUUAAUGAGCAAUUUACCGGACUUCAAGUUUCAUUCAAUAUCCUAAGACUUGAACGAGCUCACCUUAUAUCUGUUGAUGAUUUGACAAUCUUUUGUAAAGGUCAAGUAGCUUCAGUUAAAGAAUUAUGGAUGCUAUUCAUCAUUUCUCACAAACUACAAGACUGACGGCUAAUAAAAAUAAGCCUAAUCUUCAUGUUUAGGAGUAGAUGAUAUAGUAAGGAAUACUCUAUUGACAUAUACAAUGGAUUUACCUUGGUCACCUUUCCAAUGAAGUAUUUUGAGCCUACCUCUGUCUCCAAAGAAAUGGAGUAAACUUGACUGCCAUUAAUUAUGUUUAAAGAUUACUGAAAAUAUUAGAGUCACUUCAACUAGGUAUCUGUCCUAUGCUGGAAAAGUUCAAUUAUAAACUGUAUUCUUUUUUCUCUUGGCAACUUUUAGGGGCAUGUUUUCAUCCUUCCUCAAAGUAUACUAAAAGAGGUAGAUAGAAAGAGCAAAUUUUUUCUUUGGGGUAGUACUAAGAAUAAAAGGAUAGUGACACUUAUAGCAUGGAGUGAUGUCUGCAAGCCUAGAGCACAAGGUCUUCUUAAUAUUAAAUUUUGCAAAAUCUGAAACAUUUCAGCUGUUGGUAAUUUGAUUUGGAUGAUAUGUCAAUAGAAGGAGGCUCUAUGGGUCAGAUGGAUUCAUGGAGUUUUUCUGAAGUAUGAUGCUUAUUUCUAAAACCAUAAACCUCCAAUUGAUUGCAACUGGUAUCAAAAAACUCUAAAUAAGAUGAAAGCAGGUAUGAUAGGGUGGUAUAGGAAUGGUAAUUUUUGUUUUAACUAUGAUAUGGUGGUAUAGGAAUGAUAAUUUUGUUUUAAAUACUUAUGAUAAAUACUCUGUCAAAAUAAGUUACCCGUUAUGAUUGAAGUAGGAACUUACCUUGACACUGCUGAACUUAUAUGGACCAAAAAUAUGAUACCUAAACAUAGAUUUAUAGUGUGAUUCUCUAAUGAAAAGAAAUUGUUAAUCAAAAGUAGGCUCAACUCUUGGGAGUAUAGUGUGGAAAUACCAGUUUUGUGUUGUGUGAGAAGCCAUGUUUGAAAGAUUUUAAUCAUCUAUUUAUACAAUGUUAAUAUACUAUUUUGCGGUGGAGAACUGUAACUGGUUGGGUAUUUAAAUGCCAUAAACAGACAUCAAAGGUAGUUUAGAGUGGAUCUGGAUCAAGCAAAAAUAUUGGACCAAGCUAAAGAAGGCUAUCGUGACAGUAGUGUAUGUAGCAGUAAUAUACUCAAUUUAACAAGCUAGAAAUUAAAAGAUAUUCAGGUAGUGUAUUGCAAGCAGGCUCUGACUCUUCAUCAAAUAAAGUUGCUUAUUAGAGAAGGAUUAUCAGUUGUGAAGAUAUCCAAAAGGGUAGGAAAGAAUAAAUAUUUGAUAGAGAGAUUGUGUUCUUAGCUUUUGGCCACAUUUCACAUGUUGGGAAUUGUGGUAUGUCUUUAGUUUAGGCUAUUGUUUGUUUUGGUUGUAUUACUCUGAUAAGUUGGUUGAUGCUGGUAAUAAAUUUUUACAAUUUAUUACUAAAUAAAAAUAAAAUUGCAAAUAACUUACAUGUUUAAAGUGUGAAAAAAUUAUCACUAAUAGCCGGUAUAUGCAAUUUUUGUUCAUUUUUUGGCAAUUCAUUACCAAGCAAAACGUUACAAAGCCUAGCAGUUGGCUAAAUUUUUUACAUACUUAAAAAACUCAUCGAUAAUUUUUCUCUGUAUAAAAAAUGCUCUCUCAUUUCUCUAGGUGAUUCGCUACUGACUUCUAUCUGAAUGACUGCAUUGCCAUCGGUAGAGCUUUUCCGACCCCAAAAGGAUUUACUUGAUAAUCCCCCCCCCCCCCCCCAUACCCCUAAAAAACAAAAAAAAAAAAAAACAAUUUCUGAUGACAAGUGGGAGUUGGUUCAAAAACUUAUUUUUCUAAGCUGAGUUAGAUGAUUCCAAGUCAUGGAAUUUAUCCUACAUAUCUAAUACCCUCUAAGGUGCGAAAUUCAAAGCAUAUUAACAUGUCAAUCGUAAGAAUUGAGCAAGGCCAUUUGACACUGUUGAGGAAAAAUUGUCGGAUGUGAGCCUUUAAAUUUGAUCACCUUGCAAGCUAAUUCAUGAUGAGAUAAAUGAAGACGAAGGUAAAGGAGAUAAAGGUGCUCAUAUUAGUCAAUGUUCAAUCCAAGGAGAUACGCGUGACACUGUCGGACUAUAUUGAAACUCUGGUGAGCAAUUUCUCACCGACGAAAAGGAUAAAACUCAAUGUCAAUCAAUAGAUGGGGAGGAUAUAAAUGCAAUUAUGCCAAUAUCCCUAAUUGUUGAUGUUCAAAACAUUUUGAAUUUGGAAAUUAGGUUUUUCAGUCCAAAAUCAUCGAACAAAAGUCAAAACAAAAUUUUGUCAAGUGUUGGAACCUUGAAGUUUUGAUGAAUGACAAUAUGAAUGAAACAAGUUGAUAUGAGUUAAUUCAAUGCAACUGAAAACUUCAAUUUACUGAUCACAUGGGGAAUAGAACAAGUUGAAUUUGAUUCAAACACUUGAUGAUAAGGGAAAACAAGUUUAGUUGAAAAAGGAGUCUUACGUAAAGAAGGAGUUUCACUUCUGAGUAUAUCUUGAAGAGUCUUAUGUGUGGGAGGAGAAAGAUUCUGAUAAAUUAAUAUGUGCUGAUUUAAAGAAUUGGAAUUUGACUACAACACCAAGGAGACAAGCGUUGGAAUUGAAGAAGGAGUCCCACUUGAAGUAGAACUCUAUGCAAUGAGAGUUUUGAUUAGAGGAGUUUGAAAUAAAGAAUGACUCUUUGGAGAGCUGUGCUUAAAUAGAAGAUGCAGCAGUCAGAAUAAUUCACGUACUUAAAAAGCAGAAAAGUACAAUCGACAGAUUGAAUUUACGAAGUGCUACUCAAUCAUUGAAGAAACACGUUGAAGAACCUGGUCCUCAGUACAGAACCCAGCUACGAGUUUUAGCGUUGAUUUUUAGAGUUGUUCAUUGUGUUUGAAUUAUUGAUGUAAUACUAGUUUCAGUGUGUUAUAAACUGAACUAGGAGCUAGUUUUCGAGUUGGAAAAACUCAGAGACUUUGGGAACGCAUACCUUGGGAGGUGUGUGUGUAGUUAGGAAUUAGAGUUUAUAAUUCCUAGUUGUUGAGUUAUAGGGAUUAGAGUUUAUAAUUCUUAUUUGUUGGUUACAAGAGUGUUGUAAUCAGUCGUUGUUGAGGCUCAGAGUUAUUUACUGAAGUUGGGGUUAAAUCCUGUAGAGGUGCAGGUCAUGGUUUUUUUACACCUUUUGAGCCGGGUGUUUUCCACGUAAAAAUCCAUUGUGUUCUUUACUUUUUGUUUUACUGCUUUCGUGGAACACGUCAAGCAACCCGUUCCAUCAAUAGGCAACAGUUAGGCGAAAAUAAAAUAAUCAGUAGGGCACGAAUUCUUAACAAGUGGUAUCAGAGCGAGGUUAUCUUAAAAAGGGCUAGCACCUAAGACAAAGAUCAAUAUGAUGAAUUUCGCACCACCUACCGAUCACAGUGAAGGUCAAUCUACUAUUAGACCUCCACUCUUUGAUGGUUCUCACUUCAUUUGGUGGAAAGCUAGGAUGGAAACAUUUAUUCAAGGCGAAGACUACGAGUUAUGGGAUAGGAUCACUGAUGGUCCUACUAUUUCAAUGAAGUUAGAAGAUGGGAAACAGGUCAAGAAAGUAAGAAGUGAAUUCACUCCUGAUGAUUUAUUGACAUUAAAGAAAAAUGCUAAGGCCAAAAACAUUUUGGUCUGUGGAUUAGGACCUGCUGAAUACAACAGGGUAUCAAUAUGCACCACUGCUAAGCAAAUUUGGGAUGCUCUAGUAAAUGCUCAUGAAGGCACAUCUCAAGUAAGAAAAUUUAGAAUUUCUCUUCUCUUCUCUUCACCGAGUAUGAGGCAUUUAAGAUGAGGGAGGAUGAAACCUUGCAUGAGAUGAUGACAAGGCUUACUGCCUUAACAAAUGUGCUGACCUUCUUAGGAAAAGUUAUAUCUAAAGAAGAAUAAGUCGAGAAGGUACUGGGGGUAUUACCAAAAUCAAAGUGGAAUGUUAAGGUGACUGUAAUCAGGAAAGCAAAUAAGGAUCUUGCAGGCAUGGCCCUGGAUGAAUUAGUGGGGAAUUUAAGAACUUAUGAAAUGGAAAUUGAUGGAACUAAAAUGGUAGCAGCUUGGGGAUUUGACUUAGAUGGAGAUGAAGUUGAUGAAGCAGCACUCAUGGCUCUUGGAGAUUCAGACUUGGAGGAAGAAGAUGAUGCUUCUGAGGUAAGUAUACUUGAACUUAAAGAAAAGUUGCAUUUGUUUUCUAAAACAAAACUUAUUUCCUUGAUGAGUGCACUAAUUGAUGACUUCCAAGAAUCAACUUCUGAUAGGGAUGAGCUAUUCAACAGUCUUGCAAGAAUCAAAUUUGAUUUUAUUGAUUUAGAAGCUUGCAAGAAACUGUUGAACAGGAAAACUGCUCUCUCAAGAAACAGAUUGAGCAACUUGAUUCUUCAAAUGACGAUCUUUAAGUCUGAAGUUCUAAAAUUGACACUCUCUGAAAAAGGAAAAAACACAGUGUAAAGAACAAGAAAAAGUUGAACUUGAAUUGGUCAAGUACAAAGAAGAGUGCAAUAAUGCAACAGAAAUGGUGAAUAAACCGAGUCAAGAAGUCUCUAAACUAAAACUUGACCUUGAGAGAGCAAACAGGUGGACAAAUUCCUCAAGAAUUGUUCAUAAGUUGAGUGAAAGAUAUCACAGUGAAAAAGCUGGGUUGGGUUUUCAUAAAAGUCUUGAUGUUUAUCAAGACUUGUGCUAUAUAUGUGGAAACCUUGGACAUCCAACCACUAAAUGUCCAGUUGCUGCCAAAAGUAGAUCCAGCAGUCUAAAUCUGGCAAAUAAACUAUCUCAGACCAAGAAAAGGAUAANNNNNNNNNNNNNNNNNNNNNNNNNNNNNNNNNNNNNNNNNNNNNNNNNNNNNNNNNNNNNNNNNNNNNNNNNNNNNNNNNNNNNNNNNNNNNNNNNNNNNNNNNNNNNNNNNNNNNNNNNNNNNNNNNNNNNNNNNNNNNNNNNNNNNNNNNNNNNNNNNNNNNNNNNNNNNNNNNNNNNNNNNNNNNNNNNNNNNNNNNNNNNNNNNNNNNNNNNNNNNNNNNNNNNNNNNNNNNNNNNNNNNNNNNNNNNNNNNNNNNNNNNNNNNNNNNNNNNNNNNNNNNNNNNNNNNNUAUUUUUUUUUAAAAAAAAAAAUGAGAAAAGAGGAUGACUGUGAAACUGAUGAGCAUGCACAGGAACAUGUUGUACCACCUGGUUCAACUGUUGUACAGACUGAGGGCAUAUUGACAGGGGAACAACAAAUAAAGAAAUAGAUGCAUCAAUAAAACCAAAGUUGCUGGUAAUUUUGUUAGUAGUUCAUAAAAAUUGAUGUUGUCAAAAUAAUCUUGAGAGAUCUCAUGGGAAUCAAUGGCUUGAGAUUAUGAUAUCCAAAGGAAAACAAUUUCACUCUUGGGGGCUACAACUAUUUGGGUUACUUAAUUGACUGGAGAAACAUCAAAGGCACUAAGUAGAGAGCAUUUUGCAAGGAAUAGGUUAGACUUGAGGAUGAUUAAAAUUGCAUGAACUCCCCUCAAUGAUUGACUAGAAUAAUCAUUUUUCUUUUUAAUCUUAUUAGCUAAAAAGUUAUUCUAUUCAGUCUUGCACAUUUAGUUUGUGUCCCAAUUCCAGAUUUUUGACUUUUCUAACCUAUUUUUGUAUUAGAUUGUGUAGAAAAAUAGGUACAAACAAGCAAUUAUGACCACAAAAUUCUUCUUAUCAGGUAUGUUCUGCACUGACAUAAGCAUAGGCUGUCUAAGUUGAAACAGUUGAGCACACCUGUUUAAUUCCACACACUUCAUCCUCUCAUUGUCUAAUAAAACUAAUGAAUUGUUGGCCAAACUUUCUCUGAUUCUCUCCAAAUGGGUGUGCACAAGUGUGUUAAUCCUAUACCAGAAAUUUCUUUUUCUUUCUCAACCAAAAUAUCAGUUGUGUACCAUGGAUUUGCCAAGCUUGAUCAUCAAUCACAUGCAACAUAUGUUUUUGAAGAAUGAAAAGGGACAUGCUUUCCCUUUUAGUUGCUAAUUGGUAAUUUUUUUUGGGCUUCUCAGUCCUAAAUCAGGUUUGACUUAUAGAAAAAAAUAGAUGUUCUUGAACAGAUGAAUCAUGUUGCUCUACCUGUUUCAAUAAGGAGGACUAAGACUCAUUUGAGAAAAAAAAAUUUCUGAACUAGAAGCUGCAUAAGAUAGCCAUGAAGUGGAAUAAGAGGUCUUUAAGGUUAGGAUCAUGACUUUGAAGCUGGACCUUGAUUGAUAGAGGGAUGAAAAUGUUGAAGUCAUUCAUCAAUUGACACAGUUGAUAUCACCUGUUCCACCUUCCUCAUCAACUCCUCACUAUUUGUAUCCUUAGCCAUGUCCGACUUUUAUAUCGUAUUUUUUUUAAUGCUCAAUUGUUUUGCUUUGUUCAGUACUAGCUUAGGUUUAAUGUGGAACAUGCUCUGUCAGUUAAAUGGAAUGGUUAUCUUUGCUAAAUUGACUCAUAUUUUUGCUCUCUUUAAUACAUUAUUAGGUUGGCUAAAGUCUUUGUUUGAUUGUUUUGGUGAUAGCCCCAGUGGCCAUGAAUAGCAUAACAAAUCACUUUGGCUAAUAUAUUAUUGCAUUGAAAUGGUUUUUCGAUGAUGCCAAAAGGGGGAAGAUAAGAGGGUUGUGUAAUGUUUAUAACCCAUUGACUAACUUAUUCAUUAUAGUGUUUAUACUUUAGUGCCUACAGGUAAAGAUAUUUGGGUGCACAAAGACAAGAGGUUUGUCAUCAUCAAAACGGGAAAUUUGUUGGAACCUUGAAGUUUGAUGAAUGACAAUAUGAAUGAAAUAAGUUGAUAUGAGUUAAUUCAAUGCAACUGGAAACUUCAAUUUACUGAUCACAUGGGGAAUAGAACAAGUUAAAUUUGAUUCAAACACUUGAUGAUAAGGGAAACAAGUUGAGUUGAAAAAGGAGUUUUAUGUAAAGAAGGAGUUUCACUUCUGAGUAUAUCUUGAAGAGUCCUAUGUGUGGGAGGAGAAAGAUUCUGAUAAAUUAAUAUGUGCUGAUUUAAAGAAUUGGAAUUUGACUAGAACACCAAGGAGACAAGAAUUAGAAUUGAAGAAGGAGUCUCACUUGAAGUAAAACUCUAUGCAAUGAGAGUUUUGAUUAGAGGAGUUUGAAAUAGAGAAUGGCUCUUUAGAGAGCUGUGCUUAAAUAGAAGAUGCAGCAGUCAGAAUAAUUCACGCACUUAAAAAACAGAAAAGCACAAUCGACAGGCUGACUUUACGAAGUGCUACUCAAUCACUGAAGAAACACGUUGAAGAACCUGGUCCUCAGUAUAGAAUCCAGCUAAGAGUUUUAGCGUUGAUUUUUAGAGUUGUUCAUUGUGUUUGAACUAUUGAUGUAAUAUUAGUUUCAGUGUGUUAGAAACUGAACUAGAAGCUAGUCUUCAAAUUGGGAACACUCAGAGACUUUGGGAACGCAUACCUUGGGAGGUGUGUGUAGUUAGGAAUUAGAGUUUGUAAUUCCUAGUUGUUGAGUUAUAGAGAUUAGAGUUUACAAUUCUUAUUUGUUGGUUAUAAGAGUUUUGUAAUCAGUCGUUGUUGAGGCUCAGAGUUAUUUACUGAAGUUGGGGUUAAAUCCUGUAGAGGUGCAGGUCGUGUUUUUUUACACCUUUUGAGCCGGGUGUUUUCCACGUAAAAAUCCAUUGUGUUCUUUACUUUCUGUUUUACUGCUUCCGUGGAACACGUCAGUCAACCCGUUCCAUCAAUAGGCAAUAGGCAACAGUUAGACGAAAAUAAGAUAAUCAAUAGGGCACGAACUCUUAACAUCAAGUCAAAGCUCCAAUUCUCAAGUCGAAGUAUUACAACAAGAUCAUAGGAGUACUGUUAUGCCAAAACACCAUGGUACCUUUUAAAUCAAUGAAUUCCAAUUUCAAUAAUCCUACAGUUGCCGAUUUGGGUAUCAUGAUGUUCUGGGGGAUGUGAAUUCUAUUGGUCAAUGUUAAACAUCUAGUUGUUAUAUGGGGAAGGUGAAUUUCACAAAAGGUCCUUCAAAUUAUGCUCAAGGCUUGUGUAAUUUGAAAACUAGGUUUUCAGUUGAAAGUGUCAAUGUUAAUUAUUUUGAUGAAGGAAAUUCUGAUUCUAUAAACUUUGAGGGUGUUAGCAAGACACCAACAGAUGUCAAUUCAGGUGUCUACAAGUUCUUUGUCAAUUCAUUCUCAAAAUGGUGGUAAUGUGUUGAAAGCUAAAGAUACAAACACUGGUAAAAUAGUUUCUAUUGAGAAUAUAUCUCAAAAACAAGCUAUUGAUCAUGGUCAAGGUGGUAGGAAUAAGAAUAAGCAAAAAAUUACUGAGGAACUUCAAAAAACUAUUCCUAAACCUUAUGUGCCUAAUAAUAAAUCAAUGGAAGUUUCCAGCAAAUUUGCUAAGUCUACUCCUGCAGAUCCUAACUUUAAUGAGCUACAUGUGGUUAAUGAUUUUGAUAAAGAAAAAGUUGAGGAUCCUAACGUUGUCUGCAAUAAUCAGACUCAUCAAAGAGAUAAGGCUACAAAGAUUCCUAAUCCUCCUGAUCCUUGGGUUGCUCAUACUGUGGUCACUAAAUUAAGAGCUCAAAAAGCUGUGAAGAUGUCCACAAUUGGAUUACACCUCCAAAGAUUACUACAAAACAUGAGUUGCCAGCAGUGGUGUUCAGGCCUAAGGAUCGAAUGUGAAACUUGCUGAAAAAUACAAGUAUACUCUGAUUGGUAAGCUUACUAACACUAUGCCUAAAAUGGAAAUCAUUAGAAAAUAGUUUAUUUUGCAAAUUGAGCUUAGGGGUGGUGUUAAGUUGAGUCAUUUUAAUGUUAGACAUCUUUCUAUUGAUUUGGUGAACGCGAAUGAUUAUACUACCGUGUGGGCUAAAGGUAAGAUGUCUAUUGAUAGGUAACUGAUGAGGUUACAAUUGUAGACACCUACUUUUAGAUCUGCCGAAGACACCUCUUGUUCCUAUAUGGCUUAUUCUACCCGAGUUACCGUGGCAUGGUUAUUAUAUGAAAGUAUCGUCACCUCUUUUAUCCCUUAUACGAAAAGCUCUGUUCCUUGAUUUAGCAACAUAUAAGAAGACUAGGGGUAGUGUUUCUUAGGUGAAAAUCCAAGUUGAUCUUACCAUGUUUGGAUGGGGUAUGGUGAAGAUGAGAAUGGUGAAGACAUGUGACAGCCUAUACAAUAUGAGGGAGUCUUCAGUAUUAUACUUAUUGAAAGCAUCAAGGGCAUUUAAUCAUGUCUUGUAAUGUUAAGAGUAAUGAUAAUGAGGCAAGAAGAAGCAAAAAAAAUGAAAGAAGCUGAGAAAAAUGUCAAUAUGCAGAAGCAACUUGAUUUUAAUAAUACCACUGGUCCUAGAAAUGAAGAGAGAAAAUCAGCACCUGCAAGACAAAAUGAUCCAGACUCAGCAAACUGAAAUUCAACAACCUCACGCACAAGAUCAGCGGCAAGUAUAAAGAAGAAGAGGUAAAAGAAAUAAUCAGCAACAACAACAAUACAACCAAAAUCGACAAGAGCAGUCUUUUCAACAUCAAGUUUACAAACCUAGAUCACCUUAGCAAAAUACUACAGAUACACAGAAAAAUCAGCUACAACAACAAACAAGUUUAUCUUCUCAACAACAUGAAAAUUAUCCAAAAGAUUAUAAUGUUGAUUCUGGAGUCCGGAAUCAACAACCCCAUCCCCAUGAUGCUAUUAUUAGUUCCGUUAAUCCCACAAUCCCAACAAGAUGAAAGUGUGUAGAAUCUCAACAAAUAAAAUCAAAAUAUUGAUAAAAAUGGCAAUAAGAAAUGGUAACAAUACUUAAGCCAAAAUAAUAUGGUUGCUGAUAAUAUCCCCAAAAAUGGGAUCAUAGUUACCGACUCAAUGAUCCAUCAACCCCACCCAUUUAAUUUAAAUGUGCAAAGUGUGAAAAAGCUCAAUUUUGAGCACAAAAGAGAAGUUGCUGCUGAUAAUUUUCCAAAAAGAAAAUCAUGUGUUGAAUCAAUGCUCCAUUAACUCACUCUAAUAUUUUUAAUGUUUUAUCUAGUGAUGAGGUUUAUGGGGGUGAGACUGGUGUUCAGGAGAAAAUUACUAACUUGCAGAAAGGGGUUACCAAAGUGAAUGGAUUAGAAUUUAGAGCCCCUGUUGCCAUUAUGAAAAACCAACAUAUUGCGGAUGUGAAUUUUUCCACUGAAAAUUUGACUAAAUUGAGUGAUACAGAUCAGUGUACAGAGGUGUAAAUUAAUGGUACCAAGAUGAUGAAAGGGGUUCAGUCUGAAGGUUCAGAAUUUGAUCAAAUUAAUGAGUGGAGUGCAGAUGAUCCUAGUACUCCUAUCAGUGUUUAUUUAGAAGAUGAACAUGAUCCAAUGUAGGGUAAUUCUAUAGAUUAUAGGGUGGGUGAUCUUUCUCAUCCUUUAAGCAAUAAGGCUACAGUUGAUUUCAACAAGAAGAAACGAGAUCAAAUUAAAAAGGGACAAGAUAUGGGUGAUAGCAAUGAUAAAAAUCAACAGCAAGGUGGUAAUAACAAGUUUGUUUUACUGGCUGAGCAAACAGGUUUACAUAUUGACCCUCUACAAGUUAAUGAUCAGAGAGUUGAUAGUCCUAAAUGUUGGAACCCGGGGGGUUGCACCAUACCGUGAGGGAUCAGGUCUCUCAAAAUUAGUCACAGGCAAAAACACAGUAAAUGAAACAGGAACACACUACAGUGCAGGAAAUUUAAAGAACACAAAAUUUAACGUGGAACCCCCUUGCUCAAUGAAGGAAAACCACAACUUACUGUAAUACCCUGCGAUUUUCCUAGCUUAAACUCAUCCCGAAAAAUGUCAAAGAUUAGCUCUUAGAAUGAAUGACAUUUAUUUUUUGUGGAAUUCUUUAGAUUUGAACUUUCCAUGGCGUAUAAAAUUGAAUAAGCUUUCCAACGAUAUAAGAUUCGCUUAAAUCCGAUAACCGAGUAAGAAGUAAUGGCUAUUUUAAGUUCCAGUCGUAAAUCACCGUCAUUUGGACCCUUCGCGCGUCGCGGAGCAGUGUAAAAUCCCAAUUGUCAUUUUCCAGUGGCCCUUCGCGAUAUUGGCGCGUCGCGGAGAGGGUCAAUUUCCCAUUGGUCCAUUUCUAGAGGUCCAGUGCGAUAAUGGCGCGUCGCGCCAUGUGCCAAAAUGGCAUUGCAAAGGGGCACCUCGAUGACCCCACGUCGCAGAGUCUGCCUAGUUCCCAGUUGGCAUUUUCCAGUGGCUUGGCGCGAUUGUGGCGCGACGCCAAAAGUCAGAAUUUUUGGGUCGUUUUCCAGUUUCGAUUUAGAGUUUAAUAGGGGCAUUUUGGUCAAUCCCCAGGGCCCCAAAUCCGUCCAAAACACUUCAUUAAUCAAAUGCUAAGUCACUUUAUGCUUAUUUCAUUACUUUUCUCUUAAAAGUAAACGCUAGUUCAUCAACUUAUUCCCCAAGAAAUCCAAAAUUUCCCUAUUAAUCUUUCAAGGAAAUUCAAGAUUUAGAAUUCUCAAUACAAGAACGCGAAGAAGCCAUCUCCAAAACAUCAAUAGGAAUCCAGGUUCGAGUUCCUUAUCAAAGAUCGUUAAAUUAAGGUAUGUGGGGUUUGAACAAGGACAAUCCGUUAGUCCUUGUGCCCAAAAUUAUGUUUUUCAAUAAAUUUCUUAUGAUUUGAAAUUUGGGGUUUACACCCAUAGUAUCUUAUUGAUGAUUUUGAGUAUGAUAUGAUUGAAUUAUAAAAUCCCAUGUGUAUUUUGAGUUAAAGAAUGCUCUUUUAUGAUUUUGAAUACCAUGAGCAUGAUUUGAAAUAUUGUUGACAACUUUUCAAUUGAAUUGAGCAUGAUAUUGUGAUUUAAAGUCAUUAUCUUGAUAUUAUUGAAGCAUGGACUACUAUCCAAGAUUGAUUAUUGUGAUUUCAAGAAAGUUGAUGCUAUAAGCAUCUUAUGAGCAAGAUUGUUUAUAGUUUCAAUACAGCUUUGAUCUUUUGAUCAUUGGUUUAGCUUUGGAAUCCACAUUAUAUAUCAUUACAACAACAACAACAACAACAAACCCAGUGUAUUUCCACACAGUGGGGUCUGGGGAGGGUAAAAUGUACGCAGUCCAUAUCACUACCUUCGGAGAGGUAGCAAGGCUGUUUCCGAUAGACCCCCGACUCAAGACAAAGAAUAAUAAGCAAAUUCAUAAUACAGCAUGAAAUGAAAUAAUGCGUAAAGAUAUAUAUAUAUAUAUAUAUAUAUAUAUAUCCUAGAGCUUUGCAUUUUAUUCCGAUAGAGAAAACAAGUUGAAUUGGCAUGCCAUGGUGCGAUGACUAAAUUUACAGCUAAACAGUAAAGAUUGCUCUCGUCUUCGAACUUUAAGGUUUUUUAGAGAGAAACAGAAUUCAGUUCACUUCAUACGAGAAUAAUCCUUACAUUAAAAGUAAAGAAAGAUAAAAAAGAAAAAAGCAAGCAUUAAAAGGUUUACCAAGAAAGCAAAGAACCCACCUGAUCGAAGAAACCUCUUUUGGCUGUUUCUUCCCACAAUCGAAGCAUAGAAAGGGCAAUACCACCGGACAAUCCAGAGGCGACUAAAUCUCCUAUGAACAGAUUUUCUGAAAACAUUGUAAAAUCUACAACUUUAAUCCUCGUGCUCGGGUGUAAUCUUCUGGUUUUAAGCUUUUGGAAUCCCAAAUUAACCCCUUUCUUACUGCAGAAGAGAGAAUACAUUAUAUAUUAUUACAAUUUACAAAAACUCAGAACAGUUUUGUUCACAAACUUACUAAAGUUAGUGCAUAAAUGGUUUUUCAUAUAAAUCCUUAUGCUAGCUUUAAGAGUGAAUUUCCAAUGGUUUUCAGCAUAUAGAUCUUAAAGGGAGUAGUAUUUAGCACCGAGCGGGAAGUAUGAGAUUAGCGUGCCCUAUCUUGCACAGAACUACGUAGCCAACGUAUGUACAACUCAGAUUAUUUCCAUUUAUAUGGAUGACAGAUUUAGCUUGUGAUCAAUCACAUGGAUUAGGUUAUACUCCCUGGCAAGAGUAUGACACCUCUCCCCAACGUGAGGUUUCCUUCUUAGGAGGUCAAGACGUUGGACUCCCUACUAGUAAAAGAUAUACAACUUUUUAGAUAAAGUAUUUUCCCUAAAGCUUUGAAAGAAUCCCCUUGCAGAAUAAGUUUUCAGAUAUGAUUUGAGAACAAGAACAGUUAUAGAUUUUAGAACUAAGUGUAAUGACUCACAAGAUUCUUACUACAUGCUUUACUAUUCAUGAUUUAUGAUAUUUAGAUUUCAGAUUUACUCAAGCUAUGUGAGUCAUUUACAUUUAGCAUGCAUGAUUUGAUAAAAUGUGAUGAUAUUAUUUACUUAUUGUAUGCACCCCUAUAUACUCAGUACAUUCUUAAAGUACUAAUUCACAUAUACGUCUAUGUGCUACAUUGUCUCAUAAUGUAGGUUCAGGUGCUCAGUCUCAGCAUCGACAGUGAUUUCCGAGCAUCUCAUCUAUAUCCUGCAGUUGGUGAGUCCUCAUAUUUUGGGGACUUAGCUAUUCAUGUUCUCAGUUUAUUAAUAGAUAUUUCAGUUUAGUCCAAGUCAGCUGGGGCCUGUCCCAGUGACUCUCUAGAUUCAGUUAGUAGAGGCUUGUCGGACUACCAGAUUCAGUCUUAGAUCUUAUUUGUCGUAUUCAGACUUUUAGUAUUUGUUUAAUCCGAUUGAUGAGAUUAGUAAUUUCAGAUAUAUUCAGAUUAUUCAGAUAGUUUUUCGCAUUUUAUCAUGAUUUUAUACUUAUAUUUCCCCAUGUUGAGAUUCAGAUGUGUUAGAAGGUAGCCAGGGUUAUCUCAGGACUACUUGUAGUUCGGAGCACCGUGUGGCGUCCGGGGAACUAGAUUUUGAGGCGUUACAAACUUGAUAUCAAAGCCUAAGGUUUAGAGAGUCCUAGGAAGUCAGACAAGCCAUGUUACAUAGAGUCUUGAUCAUCGGUGUGAAGCGCGCCACAUCUAUGAGCAAGAGGCUAUGGAGCAUUUUAGAAAAAUCCUCUUUUCUUUCGUAAUCCAUCGUGCUUGAAGCUGUCUCUAUCUACUAUUAACUCAUGCUCUUUUAUGACAGAAUAUGCCUCCUCGCAGAGCUAAUGCCCGCAGAAAUGAUAACCAACUACCUCAGUCCGCAGAUUCUUUGAAUGAGAAUGUGUCACAUGUAGAGUUUCGAGCAGCUUUUUAGGCGCUAGCCCAAGCUGUGAUAACUAAUGUUCAAGGUAAUCGUCAGGCUGAAGUCCCACCUCAGCAGGAUGGGGAUUUAGUUGCAGCCAGAAUUUGAGACUUUAUGAGAAUGAACCCGCCAGAAUUCUUUGGGUCGAAAGCAGGUGAGGACCCACAAUUAUAUCUUGAUGCGGUAAAGAAGACCACCCGAAUUAUGCAUGUUUCUGAAGAAGAGAGUGUAGAAUUAGCAUCUUAUAGGCUGAAGGAUAUUUCUUGUGACUGGUGGUGAUGUGGAAGAAGAGUAUAGGGGAGAAUGCAGCCCCAAUGACUUGGCAGAUGUUUCAGGAUGUGUUCCUUGACAGAUUCUUCCCACUUGAGAUGAGGAAAGCUAAGAUAAAAAAGUUCAUGAACCUGAGGCAGGGCUCUAUGACAGUGAAGGAGUAUUGCCUCAAGUUCAACCAGUUGUCUAAGUAUGCCCCCGAUCAGAUGGCUGACCCUAGGUCAAGCAUGAGUAAGUUUGUGAUUGGUGUGUCUAGGAUGGUAGUUAAGGAGUGUAGGACUGCUAUGCUCAAUAAAUACAUGGAUCUUUCUAGAUUGAUGAUGCAUGCUCAGCAGAUUGAGGCAGACAAGAUGAAGUAAACAGAGAGUAAAUAAAAGGGCUAUAACAGGGCAGUUUGAUCAUGGUCAGAACAGGUCUGGAGGAGGAAAUUGUUCGCAGUUUUAGAAUCGUUCAUCUAUGCCUGCACCUUUUUCAUCCAGUGCUCCUGCACCCAGAAACAAGCAAGAACAGUGGGGCAAGUCUUCUAUGUCCAGAUCUCAGAAUAGUGUGUGGUAGACCUAGUUAUCAUCAGUGUGCUAGGUGUGGCAAGAGUCAUCCUGGUGAGUGUCUAGCGGGACGAAAAGGUUGUUAUGGGUGUGGCCAGUCAGGCCAUGGGAUCAAAGAGUGCCCGCAUGCAAGACAGGGAAAUAAGGAUGUUCGUCCUCAGCCUCUGGCUAACAGUGCACCAGCUCCCCUAGGUCGCCCAGCUCCUCCUCAGGGCGCAUCAUCUAGUACUGCUGGCGGUUAGCGCUAGAAUCGAUUUUAUGCUUUACCCUCAUGCCAGGAGCAGGAAGAUUCCCCAGAUGUUGUUAAUGGUAUGCUUCGUGUCUUUCAUUUUGAUGUGUAUGUGUUGUUAGACCCCGGGUUAAGUUUUUCUUAUAUGACCCCGUUAGUUGCUGUGAAUUUUGAGAUAAAUUCUGAAAAGAUUCCCGAGCCUUUCUUGGUUUCUACCCCAGUAGGUGAGUCAGUUGUUGCUAAGCAAAUCUAUAAAAAGUGUCCUAUCAUUGUCUUUCAUAAAGUCAUGCCCCACUCUUCUAUGACUCAUCUUACUUCUAUAGACUUAGAUCACUGCCCUUUGCUGCUUGAGGUUGUUAAGAGUCAAGAGGUUUCAAAUUCUUGCAUUGUUGGUUGGAUAAUCCAACAUUUAGUGAAACUGUUUAAGCUUGCUGGACCAGACCCGUGGAAGAUAGUCCUAUGUGGAGGUUUUAUAUAAAAAUGAAGGGAGUGUCUAACACUCUAAGUAGCUGUCAAAGAUAGAGUAUGGGGAUAUUUAUGCUGCCAUGAAGAGAUUGAGGAGGUGAAAGUCACAUAAGAGAAAAUUAUCAACAAUAACAGAGAUGAGAUUAAAACCAAGUUAAAUUGAAUUAAUGUUGAAUAUAUCAUGUAUAUCAAGUUGACACAGGCUAUUUUGAAGCAAAAAAAAUCAACUUCAUUAUUGUAAGGAUAGAGAUGCUAAUUCCAAAUACUUUUAUGCUUUGAUGAGGGGAAAAAGAAGAAGGCUCUGUAUUCAUAAACUUAUUGAUAAUUAAGGUGAAAAAAACAUAGCCGUGGCUGCUUGUGCAUACUUUCAAGGUAUCUUUGUCGGUGAAUAAAAACUUAUUAAGUAGGAGGUGAUUCAAUGUAUACCUAGUAUGGCUAGUGACAUCCAAUAUUAGCAACUUCAAAAAGUGCCUACUAUUGAUGAAUUAAAGCAAGUUGUGUUUUUUCUAUGAGUGCAACAUUUGCUGCUAGUCCUGAUGGUGUAACUGGUUGGUUUUUUCAAGCUUAUUGGGAUUUUAUUUGUAGUGAUCUUCUAGAAGUGGUUUAGCACUUCUUUCGUGGUCAUGAAAUACCUAAGUACUUUUCACAUACACAUUUGGUUCUACUCCCAAAAGUAGACCAUUCUAAUAAGCUCUACGAUUUCACAUAAAUAUAUCUUAGUAACUUCAUAAAUAAGAUCAUUUCUAAAUUGAUUUGUGUCAGACUUGCUCCAAUUCUUCCUCAACUUAUUUUUUAUAAUCAAUCUAUGUUUGUGUAAUGAUCCUUCAGGUCAUUAUUUAUAUUUUUGAUUAUUUCACCGUUACAACUUUUCUAUAGUUGCCUUAGGUCUUUUAUGACUUGUAGGGACUGACAGUUUGAUUACCAAAUAAUUUGUUUAGGUUUUAGAGCCAAUUCCCUAUUUUAAAGUCUUCACUGGUUUCAAGUGACCACUGAGCAAAAACUUUAGUCAAACAACCUCAUAUUUCAAUUGUGACUAUUCCAGCAGCUCCAGAACAUCGAUUUUAGGCUAGGUGGACCUUUGGUUUGGGUCCUGAGGCACCCGACCUCAUUUUGAUCUAUUGAUCGAAAAGUUAAGAAAAUGGAAUAUGGGUGUGAGACCCAUUUUUUGUCAAAACAACAUUGGAUGAAAAUCUCGACUGUGCCAUUGAGUUUAGAAUGUCAAAUUUGAUAGGGUAUAAUAGUACGUUCGCAUAUACAAGAUUUUGAAUGAAUCUCGAUGGGUUGGCGGAGACUUGGAAAAUUCCAACUCUCAGUUGUUCUGGAGCACCCCGAUCGCAUGCCAUGGAUUGUGAAUAGCGAUUUGGAAGCACCCAGCAAAUGCUGCAAAAGCAAUAUAAUGUGUCGCGAUAGUGACUCACCUAGCAGCCAAUAGAUACCGCGAUUGCAAAGGUCGGGUCGUGAUAGCGACUCCCGAACACCUGGAAAGGGUAUAAAUAUCACCCUUUUAGCCCAUUUUUGCCCAUUCUUCACAUAUUUCCAAGUGCGUUAAACUCUAAGUAUUGAGAGAGCUUAGAAUUAGAGUUUUUUUGGUUAUUUGGAGAGCUUGGAUAACGAUUUUUUUGUGAUCCCCCUUCAAAAUUGUGGUAAGAUUUCUUCAUGUUCGUGGUUGAUUUUCCCUUUUUCUCUAAAAUUCCUAAAGCUUGGUGACUUGAUUUUAGCACUAGUGUAGCUCGAAUUCAUCCAUUUUAAGGGUAAAUACUCCUUCAGCAUAAGGGAAUGUUGGGUUGGCUUCAGAAAUACGAUUUUCAUAAAUGAGACCCACAUGAGAUUUUUGAGUAAUUUUGGAUUCGAAGCACAAUAGUGAAGUAUUGGUAUCAUUAUUCUUGUUGUGAUGAGUAAAUUGUGAUUUUUAUAGCGUGGUAUCUUACGGAAGCUUCUCGAAAGGGAAAAUUAAUGAUUUAGCGGAUUCUUUGAAUUUUUCUCGGUGUUCAGGUAGGCUAGGUUUACCCUAUAUAUAGGUUGGGCUAAUUCAUAGUAUAUUUAUGAUAGAAUGUUGGAUUUUGGAUGGGUUUCGGUAUUGGUUUGAUAAAUUGAAAUGCUUGGGUUAGUUGGACCGUAUAGGCUACUCCAGAAUUGUAAUUUAGGCAUAUUUGACCUAGUUGCUCAAGUUUUAGUUGAAAUUCCUAUCUUAGGGUUAACUAAGAAUUUUAAAAUCUAAAAGUGAAUUUAGAUACCUUAGUCUAGUUUGGGGGUAGAAUUUGCCUUAAAUUGUAUUUAGGGGAUUUAGAAGUGGACUCUUUGACUCACCUUAGGUUAAGAUUCGUGUUAAUAUUUGUAACAUUUUAUACGCUUAUUAUAUAUAUGAAAAAUGCUUACUAAGGUAAUGUUGAGAAGAUUUGGUACUCGAUAGUUAUGAUGGGUUGAUAUUGAGAGUUGAUGCUUAUUAGUUAUGAUAUUAAUUAUAUAUACCCGGUUCAAGUUUGGAAAAUGAUUAUGAUAUUGGUUAUAUAUACCGGUUUGAGUCCGGAAGAUGAUUAUGCCAUUGAUGAUAUAUUUAUAGAUUCAAGUUCAACCACUGAAUAUAUUACUGAUUCGAGUUUGGACAUAAAGGUUUUUUCACCCCAGCCAGCGAUGCCUAAGGAUGUGAGUAUGGUAGGUUCGAUGAUGAUUAAGGCUAUUUAUUAUUGUACUAGACCUACAUCUCCGAUUGAGGUUCGUAGCUUUAUUGGCUUGGCUGGUUAUUAGAUUUUUAAUAGAUGGUUUUGGUACUAUUUCAACUCCUAUGACCUAAUUGACUCAGAAUAAGGUUCCUUUUUAUUGGUUCGAGGAGUGAGUCGAGCUUUGGAAAGCUCAAGUAGGUUCUUACUUCAGCUCCUCUUUUAGCUCUUUCUAUUGAAGGUGAGUGAUUCACCUUGUAUUGUGAUGCUUCUAGCAUUGGUUUGGGUUGUGCAUUGAUGUAUCAAGGUCAUGUUAUUACCUAUGCUUCGAGGCAACAUAGGAUGUAUGAGAGCAACUACUCCACUCAUGACUUGGAGUUGGCGGUGGUAGUUUAGAUUUGGAGGCAUUAUCUCUGUGAUGUGAAUUGUGAGAUUUUCACAGAUCAUCACAGUCUUCAGCAUCUUAUGACCCGAAGAGAGUUUAAUGCUAGGCAACGUAGAUAGAUGGAGUUGCUUAAGGACUAUGAUAUCUCUAUUUUAUAUCAUCCAGGAAAGAGAAAUAUGGUAGCUAACGCCUUAAGUUAGAAGGUAGUGAGUAUGUGUAACUUGCCUUAUAUUUUAGUUUCUCGGAGGCUAUUGGCGUGGGACAUUCAAUCCUUAGCCAACUUGAUAGUUAGGCUUGAUAUUUUAGACUCUAGGAGGAUGCUUUCUAGUGUUGAGGCUUGGUCCUCACUAUUUGAGCAGAUUCGGGAUCCUUAGUUUGAGGGUAAUAAACUUUGUAUCCUUCGAGAUAAGGUGUUGAGUGGUUAGUCCAAGAGGGCUACCAUAGAUUUUGAGGGCAUCUUGAGAUUUAAUAGCCAUAUUUGUGUUCCAAGGAUCGAUGCUUGAUUCAGUUGAUUUUGCAUGAGGCUAAUUGCUCCAGGUAUUCUAUUUAUUCGGGUACAACUAAGAUGUAUAGUGAUUUGAGACAACAUUAUUAGUGGAGUGGCAUGAAGAUAGAUGUGUCAGACUUUGUAGCUCAUUGCCUAUGCUGUCAACGGUGAAGGCCGAGCAUCAACGACCUGGUGGAUUGAUUCAUAGGUUGUUCGUUCUCGAGUGGAAAUAGGAGCGGAUCACCAUACACUUUGUUAUUGGUUUGCCUCACACUUUCCAUGGUUUUGAUGGUAUUUGGGUUAUUGUGCAUCAAUUAACUAAGUUGACUCAUUUCAUUCCUAUUCAGAUGUCUUUUAGUGCUUAGAGGUUAGCUCAUACCUAUGUGCAUGAGAGAGUGUAUUUGCAUGGUGUGCCUAUAUCUAUCAUUUUAGACUGAGUUUUUGAGUUGACUUCUAGCUUUUGGAGAGAUUUUCAGGAGGAGUUGGGUACUCAGGUGGAUCUUAAUGCAACCUUCCAUCCUCAGAUCGAUGGCCAGUUGAAGCAGACUAUUUAGGUUCUCGAGGAUAUACUUUGAUCCUGUGUUAUAGAUUUAGGAGAGUAGUACUUAGCCUUGGCAGAAUUUGUGAAUGAUAAUUACAGUUAUCAUUCGAAUAUCGAGAUGGCGCUAUUUCAGGCUUUGUAUAGUAGGCAAUGUGGUUCCUCGAUUAGAUGGUUUGAGAUGUUAAAGGUUAGAACACGUUGUACUAACCUGCUUUGUGAGCCCUUAGAUAGAGUCAGGUUUAUUCAAGAUAGGUUGAGAGUAGCUCAGAGUAGGCAGAAGGGCUAUGUAGACCGAAGGACUCAUGCCUUGAGAUUUGGAGUUGGUGAUUCAGUAUUUAUCUGUGUGUCACCCAUGAAUGGUGUGAUGAGGUUCAGGAGAAAAGGCAAGCUCAAACUAGAUAUAUUAGACCAUUCGAGAUUCUUUGCAUAGUUGGUGAGGUGGCUUAUAAGUUAGCCAUACCAUCAGAUUUUGCUGCUGUCCAUCCGGUUUCCAUAUUUCUAUAUUGCGAUGAUACAUUCUUGAUCUGUCUUAUAUGCUUAGAUGUGAUUUAGUUCAGUUGGAUGAGCAGUUGACUUUCGUGGAGGAGCCUAUGCUCAUUUUGGCUAGUGAUGUCAAAUGGUUGCACACUAUGGAGAUUCAUGUAGUUAAGAUUCUAUGGAGGCACCAUCCAGUAGAGGAGGCUACUUAGAAGAUCGAGAGUAAGAUGAAGACCCAGUAUCCUCACCUAUUUGAGGCUUCAGGUAUAUCCUAAUCCUUGACUUUUGUGGAUGAAAGUCCUUUUAGUAGUGGAUAUUGUAAUGACCUUUUAGGUCUUUUUAGAUAUUUAUUCUUAUUUUUGCCAUUAGAGCUAUUUUAUAGCUGGCCCAGGUUAUUUAUGACUUGCUGAGACUAAUAGUUCGUUUGAUUUUUAGAGUCAAUUCUCUAUUUUGAAGUCUUUACUAGUUCUAAAUGGAUAUCGAGCAAAAACUUUAGUCAAACUACCUCAUAUUCUAAUUCCGACUAUUCCAUCAUCUCCAAAACUUCAAUUUUAGGCUAGAUAGACCUUUAUUUCGGGUCUCAAGGCACCUGGGCUCAUUUUGACUUAUUAGUCAGAUAUAGGUAAGAAAAUGAAAUAUAGGUGUGACACUUACUUUUUUGUCGAAACGACCUCAUACGAAAAUUUUGACUAUGCCAUUGAGUCCGGAAUAUCAAAUUUGAUAGGAUAGCAUCACCCAUUUGCAUAUACAGAAUUUCGAAUAAAUCCCGAGGGGUUGGUAGUGAAUUGGAAAAUUCCUAAGUCUUAGUUGUUCUGGUGCACUCGCGAUUGUGGGCCAUGGAUCGCGAAUAGUGAUCUAGUAGCACCCAGCAAGUGCCGCAAUUAUGAUAUUGUGUCGUGAUAGCAACUCACCUGGCAACCACUAGAUGCUGCGAUCGUGAGGGUCGAGUCGUGAUAUCGACCCCCGAACACUUAGAAGGGUAUAAAUAUUACACUUUUAGUCCAUUUUGCCUAUUCUUUAUCUAUUUCCAAGAGAGUUAAACCCUAAGUAUUGAGACAACUUAGAUUAUGAGCUUGUGGGUGAUUUGGGGAGCUUAGACAAUGAUUAUUUCGUGAUUCUCCUUCAAAAUUGUGGUUAUAUUUCACGUUCGUUGUUGAUUUCCCCUUUUCUUCUCUAAAAAACCUAAAGAUUUGUGAAUUGAUUUUAGCACCAAUGUAGCUCUCACCCAUUUUUGAGGGUAAGUACUCCUUGAACAUAAGAAAAUACUGGAUUGGCUUCGAAAAUGCAAUUUUCGUAAAUAUGACCCACAUGAAAUUUUUGAGUAAUUUUGGACCCAAAGCACAAUAGUGCAAUAUAGGUAUCAUUAUUCUCAUUGUGACGAGUAUAUUGUGAUUUUGAUAGCGUGACACCUUGCGAAAGCUUCUUAGAAGGGAAAAUAAGUGAUGUAGCAAAUUCUUUGGGCUUUCUUCAGCGUCCAGGUAGGUUAGGUUUAUCCUAUAUAUAUAGAUUGAGCUAAUUCAUAGUACAUUUAUGAUAUAAUGUUGGAUUCAGGAUGGGUUUAGGUAUACGUGAUAUAAGUUAAAAUGCUUGGGUUAGUUGGACAGUUUAGGCUACUCGAGAAUUGUAAUUUUGGCAUAUUUGACCUAGUUGCUCAUGUUUUAGGUAAAAUUCCUAUCUUAGGGUUAAUUAAGUAUUUUUUAACAUCUAAAAGUGAAUUGAAAUACCUUAGUCUAGCUUGGGGGUAAAAUUUAUCUUAAAUUGUAUUUUGGGGGUUUAGAAGUGGACUCUUUGACCCACCUUAGGCCAAGAUUCAUAUUAAUCCUUGCAACCUUUAUUGCACUUGUUAUAUAUCUUGAAAAUGCUUUCUAAGGUAGUGUUGAGAAGAUUUAGAACCCGAUGGUUAGGAUGAGUUGAUAUUGAGAGUUGAUGCUUAUUAGUUAUGCUAUUGAUUAUGUUAUUUUGAUUAUAUAUACCUGGUUCGAGUCCGAAAGAUGAUUAUGCUAUUGAUUAUAUUGACCCGGUUUGAGGCUAGAAGAUGAUUAUGAUAUUGAUUUUAUAUAUCCGGUUUAAGCUCAAAAGAUGAUUAUGACAGAUGAUAUACUUACCAGUUUAAGUUCGACCAUUGACUAUAUGUACCGAUUCAUAUCCGGAUACACAUUAUGAUAUGAUUAUAUAUAUAUAUGAUACCGGUUCAAGUUCAAAUAUUGGGGUGUGUAGUUGAUAAUGUGGAUACCAGUUCAAGUCCAGAAUUGGAGAAUGGACAUAGUGUCUUAUGUCAUUGAUAGAUUCUAGUUGUAACAUGAGAGUUGGUAAAUGAUGGUGGUUCGGGUUAUACUUUUCUUAAUUGUACCCUCCAAGCUUAUGGGGACCUGCGGUGGGUUAUUUACUUUUCCAUACUUUUUGGCUUAUAGGGGUAAAUUUUGUAGUUAUGAUCGUAUGUGUUUGAUUCAUUAUGUUAUGUUAUUAUUCCGUUUAUUUACUUAUUUCUGCACAGUAAUAUUGGAGUUGUUCAGGUUCACCUCUUUAUCUUAACCUAGUUAUGUUAUCUUGCACUUUAUCAUAUUUAAAUCAUGAUUUAGCUCAGUUGAUCGGUGAUGCCUAUUGAGUAUCCAUGAUUUUGGUACUCAUACUACACUUCUAUACUUUUUUGGUGCAGAUCUGAGUACUAUUUGUCGUCGUUGAUUCGUUGAUCGUGC
This 26277-nucleotide long non-coding RNA is filed under the name Capsicum annuum. RNAcentral describes it as "long non-coding RNA (CANN_LNC020807)". Lineage: Eukaryota; Viridiplantae; Streptophyta; Magnoliopsida; Solanales; Solanaceae. The record is from RNAcentral.